GACGAACGCUGGCGGCGUGCUUAACACAUGCAAGUCGAACGGAAAGGCCCUGCUUUUGUGGGGUGCUCGAGUGGCGAACGGGUGAGUAACACGUGAGUAACCUGCCCUUGACUUUGGGAUAACUUCAGGAAACUUGGGCUAAUACCGGAUAGGAGCUCCUGCUGCAUGGUGGGGGUUGGAAAGUUUCGGCGGUUGGGGAUGGACUCGCGGCUUAUCAGCUUGUUGGUGGGGUAGUGGCUUACCAAGGCUUUGACGGGUAGCCGGCCUGAGAGGGUAACCGGACACAUUGGGACUGAGAUACGACCCAGACUACAACGGGAGGCAACGGUGGGGAGUAGUACACAGUAGGAGGAAGCAUGAUGCGACAACGCAGCGUGCGGGAUGACGGGCUUGGGGUUGUAAACCGAUGUCGCCUGUGACGAAGCGUGAGUGACGGUAAUGGGUAAAGAAGCACCGGCUAACUACGUG
RNAcentral lists this ribosomal RNA (468 nucleotides) under uncultured bacterium. RNAcentral describes it as "partial 16S ribosomal RNA". It matches the Rfam family "Bacterial small subunit ribosomal RNA", at positions 28 to 507 of the family's 1533-position model. The record is from RNAcentral.